UAGUGGGGGAAACGUUUCGAAAGGAACGCUAAUACCGCAUACGUCCUACGGGAGAAAGCAGGGGACCUUCGGGCCUUGCGCUAUCAGAUGAGCCUAGGUCGGAUUAGCUAGUUGGUGGGGUAAUGGCUCACCAAGGCGACGAUCCGUAACUGGUCUGAGAGGAUGAUCAGUCACACUGGAACUGAGACACGGUCCAGACUCCUACGGGAGGCAGCAGUGGGGAAUAUUGGACAAUGGGCGAAAGCCUGAUCCAGCCAUGCCGCGUGUGUGAAGAAGGUCUUCGGAUUGUAAAGCACUUUAAGUUGGGAGGAAGGGCAGUAAGCUAAUACCUUGCUGUUUUGACGUUACCGACAGAAUAAGCACCGGCUAACUCUGUGCCAGCAGCCGCGGUAAUACAGAGGGUGCAAGCGUUAAUCGGAAUUACUGGGCGUAAAGCGCGCGUAGGUGGUUUGUUAAGUUGGAUGUGAAAGCCCCGGGCUCAACCUGGGAACUGCAUCCAAAACUGGCAAGCUAGAGUACGGUAGAGGGUGGUG
This 533-nucleotide ribosomal RNA is filed under the name Pseudomonas sp. Its description in RNAcentral is "bacterial SSU rRNA". It matches the Rfam family "Bacterial small subunit ribosomal RNA", at positions 134 to 663 of the family's 1533-position model. The record is from RNAcentral. Lineage: Bacteria; Pseudomonadati; Pseudomonadota; Gammaproteobacteria; Pseudomonadales; Pseudomonadaceae.